Molecule: ribosomal RNA, 630 nt
Filed under: Stenotrophomonas maltophilia
Lineage: Bacteria; Pseudomonadati; Pseudomonadota; Gammaproteobacteria; Lysobacterales; Lysobacteraceae
Description: bacterial SSU rRNA
Rfam family: Bacterial small subunit ribosomal RNA
Source: RNAcentral
AGUCGAACGGCAGCACAGUAAGAGCUUGCUCUUAUGGGUGGCGAGUGGCGGACGGGUGAGGAAUACAUCGGAAUCUACUUUUUCGUGGGGGAUAACGUAGGGAAACUUACGCUAAUACCGCAUACGACCUACGGGUGAAAGCAGGGGACCUUCGGGCCUUGCGCGAUUGAAUGAGCCGAUGUCGGAUUAGCUAGUUGGCGGGGUAAAGGCCCACCAAGGCGACGAUCCGUAGCUGGUCUGAGAGGAUGAUCAGCCACACUGGAACUGAGACACGGUCCAGACUCCUACGGGAGGCAGCAGUGGGGAAUAUUGGACAAUGGGCGCAAGCCUGAUCCAGCCAUACCGCGUGGGUGAAGAAGGCCUUCGGGUUGUAAAGCCCUUUUGUUGGGAAAGAAAUCCAGCCGGCUAAUACCUGGUUGGGAUGACGGUACCCAAAGAAUAAGCACCGGCUAACUUCGUGCCAGCAGCCGCGGUAAUACGAAGGGUGCAAGCGUUACUCGGAAUUACUGGGCGUAAAGCGUGCGUAGGUGGUUGUUUAAGUCUGUUGUGAAAGCCCUGGGCUCAACCUGGGAACUGCAGUGGAAACUGGACAACUAGAGUGUGGUAGAGGGUAGCGGAAUUCCCGGUGUA